CUUCUAAAAUUGGCUUACACCUGCCUCAUCUGCUUUGCUUAAUGAGCAUGCCAUGCUUUGAUUAACCUACCUUGGAGUUGACCCAUCGUUGACUAUCACGUUGGAAGCUGGGAUCUGGACUCUGCAACCCAACGCGUGCCUUGAUUAUGUUUUAGCAUAAUCUCUGACAUCUCCACAGGCUUCACCUUGAGGGUCCCCUUGCCCCAUAAGAUUGGCACCCUCACCUGCCCUGCACCUAUGCCCCAGUAUGCUGGUACCACAGUGUUCUCUGCUCAAAGGUGGCCACAAGUCUCGACUAGCCAGCCCAUUGGUUAAUUUUUGCUCUUCACAGUUCUGGACUCUUUGGCAGUGUCUCAGCUGUAGAGUUAAAUUGCCACAUCCUAAGCAUGCCUAACCAGCUUGAAAGGUUAUAGUGUGUCUUCAACACACAUCAUCCACAUACACCCUCCAGCAGCAAGCACAGGCAGUCUCCUUAAUUAUACUCUAGGGCAGAUUGAGUGUAUUUUAGCACAAAGAGCUAAAGGUGUCUCUUGGGGUCAUUUCUGCAACCAUGAAUUGGGGAUCCUGUGAUUUUUUCAGGCCUGUGAUUAUGGUUGCUGGCCUUUAUGUUACUCAUCAGUGGAAACCAAUAGCUCUUGGGGAUGGAUGUGAUCCUAUUUCGGACUCAGCCAAGGGUGGAUUAAAUUUGAGGCCAGGCAGCUCCUUAAACCUCUCAUAUCUGUCCUCAGGCCUGGUGGAGCCAGUGAACGUGGUGGACAAUGGAGAUGGCACACACACAGUAACCUAUACCCCAUCUCAGGAGGGACCUUACAUGGUCUCAGUUAAAUAUGCUGAUGAAGAGAUUCCUCGCAGUCCCUUCAAGGUCAAGGUCCUUCCCACAUAUGACGCCAGCAAAGUGACCGCCAGUGGCCCCGGCCUUAGUUCCUAUGGUGUGCCUGCCAGUCUACCUGUGGACUUUGCAAUUGAUGCCCGAGAUGCCGGGGAAGGCCUGCUUGCUGUUCAAAUAACGGACCAAGAAGGAAAACCCAAAAGAGCCAUUGUCCAUGACAAUAAAGAUGGCACGUAUGCUGUCACCUACAUCCCCGACAAGACUGGACGCUAUAUGAUUGGGGUCACCUAUGGGGGUGACAACAUUCCACUUUCUCCUUAUCGCAUCCGAGCCACACAGACGGGUGAUGCCAGCAAGUGCCUGGCCACGGGUCCUGGAAUCGCCUCCACUGUGAAAACUAGCGAAGAAGUAGGCUUUGUGGUUGAUGCCAAGACUGCCGGGAAGGGGAAAGUGACCUGCACGGUUCUGACCCCAGAUGGCACUGAGGCCGAGGCCGAUGUCAUUGAGAAUGAAGAUGGAACCUAUGACAUCUUCUACACAGCUGCCAAACCGGGCACAUAUGUGAUCUAUGUGCGCUUUGGUGGUGUUGAUAUUCCUAACAGCCCCUUCACUGUCAUGGUGACCGAAGAGGCCUAUGUCCCAGUGAGUGAUAUGAACGGCCUGGGAUUUAAGCCUUUUGACCUGGUCAUUCCGUUUGCUGUCAGGAAAGGAGAAAUCACCGGAGAGGUCCACAUGCCUUCUGGGAAGACAGCCACACCUGAGAUUGUGGACAACAAGGACGGCACGGUCACUGUUAGAUACGCCCCCACUGAGGUCGGGCUCCAUGAGAUGCACAUCAAAUACAUGGGCAGCCACAUCCCUGAGAGCCCACUCCAGUUCUACGUGAAUUACCCCAACAGUGGAAGCGUUUCUGCAUACGGUCCAGGCCUCGUGUAUGGAGUGGCCAACAAAACUGCCACCUUCACCAUCGUCACGGAGGAUGCAGGAGAAGGUGGUCUGGACUUGGCUAUUGAGGGCCCCUCAAAAGCAGAAAUCAGCUGCAUCGACAACAAAGAUGGGACAUGCACAGUGACCUACCUGCCCACUCUGCCAGGCGACUACAGCAUUCUGGUCAAGUACAAUGACAAGCACAUCCCUGGCAGCCCCUUCACAGCCAAGAUCACAGAUGACAGCAGGCGGUGCUCCCAGGUGAAGUUGGGCUCGGCCGCUGACUUCCUGCUCGACAUCAGUGAGACUGACCUCAGCAGCCUGACGGCCAGCAUUAAGGCCCCAUCUGGCCGAGAUGAGCCCUGUCUCCUGAAGAGGCUGCCCAACAACCACAUUGGCAUCUCCUUCAUCCCCCGGGAAGUGGGUGAACACCUGGUCAGCAUCAAGAAAAAUGGCAACCAUGUGGCCAACAGCCCCGUGUCCAUCAUGGUGGUCCAGUCCGAGAUUGGUGAUGCCCGCCGAGCCAAAGUCUAUGGCCGUGGCCUGUCAGAAGGCCGGACUUUCGAGAUGUCUGACUUCAUCGUGGACACAAGGGAUGCAGGUUAUGGUGGCAUAUCCUUGGCGGUGGAAGGCCCCAGCAAAGUGGACAUCCAGACUGAAGACCUGGAAGAUGGCACCUGCAAAGUCUCCUACUUCCCCACCGUGCCUGGGGUUUAUAUUGUCUCCACCAAAUUCGCUGACGAGCACGUGCCUGGGAGCCCAUUUACCGUGAAGAUCAGCGGGGAGGGAAGAGUCAAAGAGAGCAUCACCCGCACCAGUCGGGCCCCGUCUGUGGCCACUGUCGGGAGCAUCUGUGACCUGAACCUGAAAAUCCCAGAAAUCAACAGCAGUGAUAUGUCGGCCCACGUCACCAGCCCCUCUGGCCGUGUGACUGAGGCAGAGAUUGUGCCCAUGGGGAAGAACUCGCACUGCGUCCGGUUUGUGCCCCAGGAGAUGGGCGUGCACACGGUCAGCGUCAAGUACCGUGGGCAGCACGUCACCGGCAGCCCCUUCCAGUUCACCGUGGGGCCACUUGGUGAAGGAGGCGCCCACAAGGUGCGGGCAGGAGGCCCUGGCCUGGAGAGAGGAGAAGCGGGAGUCCCAGCUGAGUUCAGCAUUUGGACCCGGGAAGCAGGCGCUGGAGGCCUCUCCAUCGCUGUUGAGGGCCCCAGUAAGGCCGAGAUUACAUUUGAUGACCAUAAAAAUGGGUCAUGCGGUGUGUCUUAUAUUGCCCAAGAGCCUGGUAACUACGAGGUGUCCAUCAAAUUCAAUGAUGAGCACAUCCCGGAAAGCCCCUACCUGGUGCCGGUCAUCGCGCCCUCCGACGACGCCCGCCGCCUCACUGUUAUGAGCCUUCAGGAAUCGGGAUUAAAAGUUAACCAGCCAGCAUCCUUUGCUAUAAGGUUGAAUGGCGCAAAAGGCAAGAUUGAUGCAAAGGUGCACAGCCCCUCUGGAGCCGUGGAGGAGUGCCACGUGUCUGAGCUGGAGCCAGAUAAGUAUGCUGUUCGCUUCAUUCCUCAUGAGAAUGGUGUCCACACCAUCGAUGUCAAGUUCAAUGGGAGCCACGUGGUUGGAAGCCCCUUCAAAGUGCGCGUUGGGGAGCCUGGACAAGCGGGCAACCCUGCCCUGGUGUCCGCCUAUGGCACGGGACUCGAAGGGGGCAUCACAGGUAUCCAGUCGGAAUUCUUUAUUAACACCACCCGAGCAGGUCCAGGGACAUUAUCCGUCACCAUCGAAGGCCCGUCCAAGGUUAAAAUGGAUUGUCAGGAAACACCUGAAGGAUACAAAGUCAUGUACACCCCCAUGGCUCCUGGUAACUACCUGAUCAGUGUCAAAUACGGUGGGCCCAACCACAUCGCGGGCAGUCCCUUCAAGGCCAAGGUGACAGGUAACGAUCAACCAUCUUCGGAGUUAACUCUCCCUUCCUGGGGAGCUGGUUUGUCAGAUCAAUCAUAGUGGAAACUAUGGAUGGUUUUAGAUGUGUUUAAGCUACUUUGAACUUUGAAUGUCAGUAAAUAGUAUGAGGUGUCAGAGGGCCGUGUUUGAAACUUACAAAAGUCCACAGAGUGGAGCCGUGCAGAAGUUGAGAAGACAUGUUAGGAUGUUAGGUAGUUUUCUGUCUCUAACAGGAAAGAAUACAUGUUGAAAUCUUAUGUAUUUGUUUAGAUCAGGGCCUGAAAAUCCCCUCAUUUCUAAUUUUCACUUGAAAAAUAAUCAAAAGGUUUUCCUAUACUUAUAAAAAUGUGUCUCCUCCAAAACACUGGAAAAAAUACCAAACUAUGAAAACCACUUCACAGCCACCACCCAAGGUAACCACCAUAAACACUGUAGUAAAUCCCUUCCACACGUCAUGAUUCACUGUUACAUAAAGAAUGUAGGUUCAUCGCAGGAAAAUUAGAAAAUUCAGAUAGAAAAAUCAUCCUUUCUCAUCCACAGAAUCAUUUUUUGAUAUUUCAUUAUAUGUCAUCCCAAACUUUUACACUGCUUGUACAUAGACUAUUUUAUGUAAAUAGAAAGAUGUGAAUUCCACAGGCACAUCUUUGGUGGGUGGGGGGUGGGGGGAUUGGGAGGGUUCUCGGCCUUGUCAGCCAAGGCCAGACUCAUCCAUUUGCCCAGAAAGCCAGAUCCUAGUUGUAUGGGGGUGGGAUCCCAGGGGUUUAGAAGACAUUAUGGGUGUGAGAUACGGGUGUGGUGGCUUUUGUAUCCAGGUGUUGGGGUACGCGGGCUCUCCUGGGGUUACUGUGUAGGGUACUCGCCUGUCCUCUGGCUGAGAGACCCCUCUUGAUCUGGCCAUUCAUGCCUGUCCCCCUCCCUCCUGUACCUUAGGCCAGCGUCUAGUUAGCCCCGGCUCAGCCAAUGAGACCUCAUCCAUCCUGGUGGAGUCAGUGACCAGGUCUUCUACAGAGACCUGCUAUAGCGCCAUUCCCAAGGCAUCCUCGGACGCCAGCAAGGUGACCUCUAAGGGUGCAGGGCUCUCCAAGGCCUUUGUGGGCCAGAAGAGUUCCUUCCUGGUGGACUGCAGCAAAGCCGGCUCCAACAUGCUGCUGAUCGGGGUCCAUGGGCCCACCACCCCCUGUGAGGAGGUCUCCAUGAAGCAUGUAGGCAACCAGCAAUACAACGUCACAUAUGUCGUCAAGGAGAGGGGCGAUUAUGUGCUGGCUGUGAAGUGGGGGGAGGAACACAUCCCUGGCAGCCCUUUUCAUGUCACAGUGCCUUAAAACAGUUUUCUCAAAUCCUGGGGAGAGUUCUUGUGGUUGCUUUUGUUGCUUGUUUGUAAUUCAUUUUAUACAAAGCCCUCCAGCCUGUUUGUGGGGCUGAAACCCCAUCCCUAAAAUAUUGCUGUUCUAAAAUGCCUUCAGAAAUAAGUCCUAGACUGGACUCUUGAGGGACAUAUUGGAGAAUCUUAAGAAAUGCAAGCUUGUUCAGUGGGCUGAGAGGAUCCUGAGUACACUAGGUGCAAACCAGAACUCUUGGUGGAACAGACCACCCACUGCAGCAGACAGACCAGGAACACAAUGAGACUGACAUUUCAAAAAAACAAAACUGGCUAGCCUGAGCUGCUGGUUCACUCUUCAGCAUUUAUGAAACAGGGCUAGGCGAAGAUGGGCAGAGAAAAAGGGGACACCUAGUUUGGUUGUCAUUUGGCAAAGGAGAUGACUUAAAAUCCGCUUAAUCUCUUCCAGUGCCCGUGUUAAUGUAUUUAGCUAUUAGAUCACUAGCACUGCUUUACCGCUCCUCAUUGCCAACACCCCCAUGCUCUAUGGCCUUCUUACACUUCUUAGAGGGCAGAGUGGAUGUGGUGGCAGCCGGGCCCACAUGUCUCCCAAGUACCUGUCCCCUCGCUCUGAUGAUUAUUUCUUGCAGAGUCACCACACGAGACCAUCCCGGCAGUCAUGGUUUUGCUUUAGUUUUCCAAGUCCGUUUCAGUCCCUUCCUUGGUCUGAAGAAAUUCUGCAGUGGCGAGCAGUUCCCCACUUGCCAAAGAUCCCUUUUAACCAACACUAGCCCUUGUUUUUAACACACGCUCCAGCCCUUCGUCAGCCUGGGUAGUCUUACCAAAAUGUUUAAAGUGACCUCAGAGGGGCCCAUGGAUUAGCGCCCUCAUCCCAAGGCCCGUCCCAUGACAUAACACUCCACACCCGCCCCAGCCAGCUUCGUGGGUCACUUUUUCUGGAAAAUAAUGAUCUGUACAGACAGGACAGAAUGAAAUUCCUGCGGCUCUUUGGCCUGAAAGUUGGGAAUGGUGGGGGGAGAGAAGGGCAGCAGCUUAUUGGUGGUCUUUUCACCACUUGGCAGAAACAGUGAGAGCUGCGUGGCGCAGAAAUCCAGAAAUGAGGUGUAGGGAAUUUUGCCUGCCUUCCUGCAGACCUGAGCUGGCUUUGGAAUGACGUUAAAGUGUCAGGGACGUUGUCUGAGCCCAAAUGUGUAGCGUGGUCUGGGCAGGUGGACCUUUAGGGUUUGCUGCUUAGUCCUGAGGAAGUGGCCACUGUUGUGGCAGGUAUAGUAUCUGGGGCGAGUGUUGGGGGUAAAAGCCCACCCUACAGAAACUGGAACAGCCCGGAGCCUGAUGUGAAAGGACCACGGGUGUUGUAAGCUGGGACAUGGAAGCCAAACUGGAAUCAAACGCCGACUGUAAAUUGUAUCUUAUAACUUAUUAAAUAAAACAUUUGCUCCAUAAA
RNAcentral lists this small RNA (6474 nucleotides) under Pongo abelii (Sumatran orangutan). RNAcentral's name for it is "retained intron". The record is from RNAcentral. Lineage: Eukaryota; Metazoa; Chordata; Mammalia; Primates; Hominidae.